This 2537-nucleotide unclassified non-coding RNA is filed under the name Leishmania donovani. RNAcentral describes it as "gene:LdHU3.18.0160(CDS-product:serine/threonine_p rotein_phosphatase_type_5_putative)". Lineage: Eukaryota; Euglenozoa; Kinetoplastea; Trypanosomatida; Trypanosomatidae. The record is from RNAcentral.
GCACCCACACGUGCGGAGAGAAGCCUACAGAUAAACGCGUGCAUAUCCUAGUAGAACCCCGAGUAGUGCGCCGAUCCACAGGCACAGCCGAACCAGAUCCCGCUGUCUACUUCCACCCUUUCCCCGUGCCACGAUGGAGGAGUCUGACCGCCUGAAGCAGGAAGGCAACGCGUACUUCCAGGAAAAGAAGUUUCAGCACGCGGUAGAGUCGUACUCGCAGGCCAUUGAGGCGCACAAGACGCCGACGGUGCUGUGCAACCGCGCCUUUGCCUACCUGAAGUUGGAGCUGCCCGGAGCGGCACUUGUAGACGCACAAGAGGCGAUCGAGAUCGACCCUGGCUUUGUGAAGGCGUACUACCGCAAGGCGUCUGCCCACCUGUUGCUUGGCAAGUUCAAGGAUGCGCAGAAGGAGUUCGCCGCCGUUCUUAAGCUUGUGCCCACCGAAAAGGAUGCCCGACAAAAGUAUGACCUGUGCGAAAAGGAGCUCAAGCGCAUUCGUUUCGAGAACGCCAUCAAGUCCAAGGACGGCGAGCCGGUAUCUACUACCAUCAAGCUCGGUGCCAUCGCUGCGUCGUACGAUGGGCCGCGCAUCGAGAAUGACACGAUUACGGUGCAGUUCGUGGAGGCGAUGCAGGAGCACUUCCGCGUUGAGAAAAAGAUAGAUCGCCGUGACGUCGUCUUUAUGCUGCUGGAGGUUUUAAAGCUGUUUAAGGCGUACCCCAAUUUCGUCACAGUCACAGUGCCAGACGGCGAGGACAUUACCGUUUGCGGUGACACGCAUGGCCAGUUCUACGACCUGCUCAACAUAUUCAAGCUGAAUGGCAAGCCGUCGCCGACAAACCGCUACCUCUUUAACGGCGACUUUGUCGAUCGUGGAUCCUACUCGGUGGAGAACGUGCUCACCUUGUUCGCGUACAAGCUGCUGUACCCAGAGCACGUCUUCCUCUCUCGCGGCAACCACGAGGGACUCUCGAUGAACCGCGUCUACGGUUUUGAGGGAGAGGUGCGGGCCAAGUACUCGGCCGAGGUGUUUGAUCUGUUCUCAGAGGUCUUCAACGCCCUCCCGACGGGGCACAUCAUCAACGAUGAGGUGUUCGUCGUCCACGGCGGUCUCUACUCGCGCGACGACGUCACCAUCGCCGACCUGCAGAAGCCGAAUCGGUUUCGAGACAUCCCCGAGAACGGUCUCAUUUGUGAGAGUCUUUGGGCGGACCCACAGCCGAUGCCGGGUCGCACACCGAGCAAGCGCGGCGUCGACUGCCCAUCUUUCGGCCCCGACGUCACGGAGAACUUCCUGAAGAAUAAUAAUUUGAAGCUCGUCGUGCGCUCACACGAGGUGAAAGAGGACGGCUACGAGGUGGACCACAACGGCAAGUGCAUCACCGUGUUCAGUGCCCCGAAUUACUGCGACCAGAUGGGCAACAAGGGCGCCUUCAUUCGCUUCACGGGAGGCACGAUGAAGCCCAAAUACACCACCUUUACGCACGUGGCCCACCCUGGCAAGCGGCCAAUGCAGUACGCCUGUGGAGCGGGUCUAUUUUAAUGACUGUAGCGGUAAGGGGAGCACGUGUGUGCUCCUCUCCCAGGCGGGCUGUGCCAUGUGUUGCCUAAUGCGGGAUGAUGGAACUGGCGGCUGCGGCGGUGGGGGUCUCGGCGGGCACUUCUCAUGCGACUAUUUAUCUUACCUUUCUUUGGCGUUCGUUCUGCCUCAGCGCGCGCCUGCCGCGGCGCUCAGAGUGUGCGUGUCGGCGCACACGCCUGUAGCUGUGUAUGUGCAUGAUGUGAGGGAGAGGGACUCAGCGCAUCUGCGCAGUGGGUACCUGCGGGCGUUGAUGAAGCGCCCAACUAGGGGAAGGACACAGACCUUUACCACAUCAGAGUGAUGCACAGAGGCGGGAUUGUGCUGGGCGCACAGUCGACGCGGGUGAGGUGGGGUGCUCGGGGAGGAGUCGGUUCCAACGAGGCACGAAGGCAGAUGUGUGCAUAGGGAAGACGGAGACUCCAUCGCGGUGACUGCUUUGGAUCGUAGAGCUGCCGCUCUCUCCGUUUCUCUUGCGCAACCGCUCUUCCUAAUCUGUUCCAGCGAUGCUCGAUGGGUUGCCAUGCGUACACUCGCUAUUCUCUAGGCGUGUGAGCGCACCGUGCACUCUACUCACCGAUCGGUGCCGCUUUCUCGUUCUUGAGCUCGUACCCUUCCUGGUUGCGUUCCGCGUGCUCUCCAGACAUAGCAUCUUUUAUCUUCCUAUUGUUUCUCUUGCUGGUGGUGUGUUGUGUCGUGUGGCCAUAGAUGAUCUGAUCGUCAUAACGGCGUGUGGAGGCGAGCUAUCAUUCCCUCGUCCCCGCUGUGCUUGCUUCCUUUUUCUCUCUCUCGUCUUUGCUAAUGUGUAAUGCGCGUCUUGUGCAACGUUCUCUCUUUUUGUUUUGUUGUUGUGCAAAUGCUAAAGGGCGAAGGACGAUCCGGGUCCUUCUCCGCACAACCAACACAGGCCAACAACGGUCAAAGUCCCCCCUCCCCACACACACCCACACAGACACAG